CAAGGAAGAUGUACAUGGGAACACGGGAACACCUCACCUGGCCUGGACACGGACAGGACUGACAGCUCUUUCUCGAUUCCAUGGGUGGUGGUGCAUGGCUGUUCUUAGUUGGUGGAGCGAUUUGUCUGGUUAAUUCCAAUAACGAACAAGACUCUGGCAUGCUAACUAACUGCGCGACCCCAGAGCACGUAACUACUUCUUGGGUAGUGUCCAACUUCUUAAGAGGGACAAGUGGCGUUCAGCCACCUGAGAUUGAGCAAUAACAGGUCUGUGAUGCCCUUAGAUGUCCGGGGCUGCACACGCGCUACACUGACUGGCUCAGCUUGUGUCUACCCUACGCCGGCAGGCGCGGGUAACCCGUUGAACCCCAUUUGUGAUGGGGAUUGGGGAUUGCAGUUAUUACCCAUGAACGAGGAAUUCCCACGAGUAAGUGCAGGUCAUAAGCUCGCAUUGAUUAAG
Molecule: non-coding RNA, 459 nt
Filed under: Tinamus guttatus (white-throated tinamou)
Lineage: Eukaryota; Metazoa; Chordata; Aves; Tinamiformes; Tinamidae
Description: Eukaryotic small subunit ribosomal RNA
Rfam family: Eukaryotic small subunit ribosomal RNA
Source: Rfam by way of RNAcentral